AUACGUAGGUGACAAGCGUUAUCCGGAUUUACUGGGUGUAAAGGGCGUGUAGGCGGUUUGGCAAGUCAGAAGUGAAAUUCCCGGGCUUAACUUGGGCGCUGCUUCUGGAACUGCUUAACUUGAGUGCUGGAGAGGAUAGUGGAAUUCCUAGUGUAGCGGUAAAAUGCGCAGAUAUUAGGAGGAACACCGGUGGCGAAGGCGGCUAUCUGGACAGUAACUGACGCUGAGGCGCGAAAGCACGGGGAGCAAACAGGAUUAGAUACCCUGGUAGUCCGUGCCGUAAACGAUGAAUACUAGGUGUAGGGGGUAUCGACUCCCUCUGUGCCGCAGUUAACACAUUAAGUAUUCCACCUGGGGAGUACGGCCGCAAGGUUGAAACUCAAAGGAAUUGACGGGG
RNAcentral lists this ribosomal RNA (397 nucleotides) under uncultured bacterium. Its description in RNAcentral is "partial 16S ribosomal RNA". It matches the Rfam family "Bacterial small subunit ribosomal RNA", at positions 523 to 918 of the family's 1533-position model. The record is from RNAcentral.